GCUUGGAUGGCUCAGUUGGUUAGAGCGCAGGUCUCAUACUUCCCGUAUGACCACCACACGGUGGGCAAUCCUGAGGUCGUGAGUUCGAUCCUCACUCCGAGCA
Molecule: transfer RNA, 103 nt
Filed under: Trametes cingulata
Lineage: Eukaryota; Fungi; Basidiomycota; Agaricomycetes; Polyporales; Polyporaceae
Description: tRNA-Met
Rfam family: tRNA
About the family: Transfer RNA (tRNA) molecules are approximately 80 nucleotides in length. Their secondary structure includes four short double-helical elements and three loops (D, anti-codon, and T loops). Further hydrogen bonds mediate the characteristic L-shaped molecular structure. tRNAs have two regions of fundamental functional importance: the anti-codon, which is responsible for specific mRNA codon recognition, and the 3' end, to which the tRNAs corresponding amino acid is attached (by aminoacyl-tRNA synthetases). tRNAs cope with the degeneracy of the genetic code in two manners: having more than one tRNA (with a specific anti-codon) for a particular amino acid; and 'wobble' base-pairing, i.e. permitting non-standard base-pairing at the 3rd anti-codon position.
Source: RNAcentral